UCGGCUUAGAGUUUGAUCAUGGCUCAGGACGAACGCUGGCGGCAUGCCUAAUACAUGCAAGUCGAACGAGUGCUUGCACAGUGGCGAACUGGUGAGUAACACGUGGGAAAUCUGCCCAGAAGCAGGGGAUAACACUUGGAAACAGGUGCUAAUACCGUAUAGCAACAAAUCCGCAUGGAUUUUGUUGAAAGGUGUUCGUAUCACUUCUGGAUGAUCCCGCGGCGUAUUAGUUAGUUGGUGAGGUAAAGGCCCACCAAGACGAUGAUACGUAGCCGACCUGAGAGGGUAAUCGGCCACAUUGGGACUGAGACACGGCCCAAACUCCUACGGGAGGCAGCAGUAGGGAAUCUUCCACAAUGGACGAAAGUCUGAUGGAGCAAUGCCGCGUGAGUGAAGAAGGGUUUCGGCUCGUAAAACUCUGUUGUUAAAGAAGAACACCUUUGAGGUAAUUCAAGGGUUGACGGUAUUUAACCAGAAAGCCACGGCUAACUACGUGCCAGCAGCCGCGGUAAUACGUAGGUGGCAAGCGUUGUCCGGAUUUAUUGGGCGUAAAGCGAGCGCAGCGGUUUUUUAAGUCUGAUGUGAAAGCCUUCGGCUUAACCGGAGAAGUGCAUCGGAAACUGGGAGACUUGAGUGCAGAAGAGGACAGUGGAACUCCAUGUGUA
Molecule: ribosomal RNA, 665 nt
Filed under: uncultured Lactobacillus sp.
Lineage: Bacteria; Bacillati; Bacillota; Bacilli; Lactobacillales; Lactobacillaceae
Description: bacterial SSU rRNA
Rfam family: Bacterial small subunit ribosomal RNA
Source: RNAcentral